This 1043-nucleotide long non-coding RNA is filed under the name Homo sapiens (human). RNAcentral's name for it is "long intergenic non-protein coding RNA 879". The record is from RNAcentral. Lineage: Eukaryota; Metazoa; Chordata; Mammalia; Primates; Hominidae.
AGAAGUCCAGGGCUAGGAGCCUCAGCCGGCGGACGCCAGGAAACAGAUCUGAGAGCUGAGAAGUCCAAGAUGAAGUCUCUGGCAGAUUUGAUGUCUGCCAAGAACUGAACCAAAAUACAAACAACAUAAACUACCACUUGAUGAGAAGAACUUCAAAGUCAAAUUGCAAAAGGUGACUAAAAAAGGGGAGUACUUUCAGCCGUUUUCAAAAUAAUCUAUGAUAUGUACUGGAAAACUUCUAAUAAUCCUUGUCAUUUUACAACUUUCCCACAGUUAGAUCAUCAGCAAAUGUCACUUGGAUCCCUAGCUAAAUUGUUCUUCCCAGAAAAUAGUUAUCUCCACUAUGGAAAGUAUUUUAUCAGAAGAAUUCGUAGAAGUAGAAUCUGUUUGUCUUCAGUUAAACAAAAGAAGAACCUCAUUGCUUUCCAACUGGGCCCCGGCCAUUUUCCAGUUGAAACAUCAAAUAUUUUAUUUGUGUCUUUCACUGCCAAUUAAAGGGCAACAGAAAUGGUACAGGCUCCCUCUGCAGUGGAAUUACCCUUAUGUCUUUUCUGUCUAUGCUGAUCCACCUGAUCUUGAACUGGUGCUAUUCCAUGGGGAAAAUUGGAACAUGGGGCAAUUAACACUUUCUCCACUUUAUCCCAUCAACAGGAAAUUGAAAUAUAACCAACUAACUCAGGAGACAUCAUGGAAGAUGUCACACAGUGAAUGAUGAUGAAGCAGAAUUUUUAAAAUGUGUAGGAUUACGAGAAGUGGGGUCAUUUUUCUUUGUGUAUGGUAUUGCUGAUGCAGUUUAAUGCUCCAUUACUUCUAAAUUUUCAUCAUAAGCUAGAUUUUCCAGUUGUGGUUUCUAUAAAGAAAAACAAACAUUCUGAAGACAGUUUUUCCAGAUUUAUUCCAGAUAUCGAUGAUUAACUUUUGAAGCUCCUCUGUUGAUUUGAACAUCCGCUGAAGCUUAUUUUUCACCUCAGAAUAGCAUCAACAUUAUUUGAAAUUCAAUUGUACUUUCUCGUUACAUUAAUAAAUCAUGGAAGUUGAGAAAA